Molecule: non-coding RNA, 1304 nt
Organism: Oncorhynchus mykiss (rainbow trout)
Lineage: Eukaryota; Metazoa; Chordata; Actinopteri; Salmoniformes; Salmonidae
Source: RefSeq, a predicted model, not a curated record
UGUGGGAUCUUGUUCUAUGUUUAGUAUUUUGUUAGUUUGUUCAGUGUUUCAUUCUUUAAAUAAAGAAGGAAUGUACGCAUAGCACGCUAUACCUUGGUCUCAUUCGUAUGACGAACGUGACAGCAGUUAAUGAUGACCUUGUUAUGAUGAGGUCCUCAUGUGUUUAGUUAUGAUGAGGUCCUCAUGUGUUUAGUUAUGAUGAGGUCCUCAUGUGUUUAGUUAUGAUGAGGUCCUCAUGUGUUUAGUCAUGAUGAGGUCCUCAUGUGUUUAGUUAUGAUGAGGUCCUCAUGUGUUUAGUUAUGAUGAGGUCCUCAUGUGUUUAGUUAUGAUGAGGUCCUCAUGUGUUUAGUCAUGAUGAGGUCCUCAUGUGUUUAGUCAUGAUGAGGUCCUCAUGUGUUUAGUUAUGAUGAGGUCCUCAUGUGUUUAGUUAUGAUGAGGUCCUCAUGUGUUUAGUUAUGAUGAGGUCCUCAUGUGUUUAGUCAUGAUGAGGUCCUCAUGUGUUUAGUUAUGAUGAGGUCCUCAUGUGUUUAGUUAUGAUGAGGUCCUCAUGUGUUUAGUUAUGAUGAGGUCCUCAUGUGUUUAGUUAUGAUGAGGUCCUCAUGUGUUUAGUUAUGAUGAGGUCUAGGACAGAUAAGGCAGUUAAUGAUGACCUUGUCCUCAUGUGUUUAGUUAUGAUGAGGUCUAGGACAGAUAAGGCAGUUAAUGAUGACCUUGUCCUCAUGUGUUUAGUCAUGAUGAGGUCUAGGACAGAUAAGGCAGUUAAUGAUGACCUUGUCCUCGUGUUUAGUCAUGAUGAGGUCUAGGACAGAUAAGGCAGUUAAUGAUGACCUUGUCCCCAUGUGUUUAGUCAUGAUGAGGUCUAGGACAGAUAAGGCAGUUAAUGAUGACCUUGUCCUCAUGUGUUUAGUUAUGAUGAGGUCCUCAUGUGUUUAGUUAUGAUGAGGUCUAGGACAGAUAAGGCAGUUAAUGAUGACCUUGUCCUCAUGUGUUUAGUUAUGAUGAGGUCCUCAUGUGUUUAGUUAUGAUGAGGUCUAGGACAGAUAGGGCAGUUAUUGUUUUUUUUUUUUAAAGUGUGUGUAUAUACAGUGCAUUCGUAAAGUAUUCAGACCCCUUGACUUUUUCCACAUUUUGUUACGUUACAGCCUUAUUCUAAAAUGGAUUAAAUAAAUAAAAAUCCUCAACAAUCCAAACACAAUACCCCAUAAUGACAACAGGAUUCGUUGGAAAAUUUAUAAAAAUUGAAAAACAGAUUCCUUAUUUACAUAAGUAUUCAGACCCUUUGCUAUGAGACUUGAAAUUGAGUU